This 1159-nucleotide ribosomal RNA is filed under the name Bacillus sp. (in: firmicutes). RNAcentral describes it as "bacterial SSU rRNA". It matches the Rfam family "Bacterial small subunit ribosomal RNA", at positions 74 to 1215 of the family's 1533-position model. Lineage: Bacteria; Bacillati; Bacillota; Bacilli; Caryophanales; Bacillaceae. The record is from RNAcentral.
AGGAGCUUGCUCCUCUGAUUUAGCGGCGGACGGGUGAGUAACACGUGGGUAAUCUGCCUGUAAGACGGGGAUAACUCCGGGAAACCGGGGCUAAUACCGGAUAAUAAGAGAAGAAGCAUUUCUUCUUUUUGAAAGUCGGUUUCGGCUGACACUUACAGAUGAGCCCGCGGCGCAUUAGCUAGUUGGUGAGGUAACGGCUCACCAAGGCGACGAUGCGUAGCCGACCUGAGAGGGUGAUCGGCCACACUGGGACUGAGACACGGCCCAGACUCCUACGGGAGGCAGCAGUAGGGAAUCUUCGGCAAUGGGCGAAAGCCUGACCGAGCAACGCCGCGUGAGCGAUGAAGGCCUUCGGGUCGUAAAGCUCUGUUGUUAGAGAAGAACAAGUACGAGAGUAACUGCUCGUACCUUGACGGUACCUAACCAGAAAGCCACGGCUAACUACGUGCCAGCAGCCGCGGUAAUACGUAGGUGGCAAGCGUUAUCCGGAAUUAUUGGGCGUAAAGCGCGCGCAGGCGGUCUCUUAAGUCUGAUGUGAAAGCCCACGGCUCAACCGUGGAGGGUCAUUGGAAACUGGGAGACUUGAGUGCAGGAGAGAAAAGUGGAAUUCCACGUGUAGCGGUGAAAUGCGUAGAGAUGUGGAGGAACACCAGUGGCGAAGGCGGCUUUUUGGCCUGUAACUGACGCUGAGGCGCGAAAGCGUGGGGAGCAAACAGGAUUAGAUACCCUGGUAGUCCACGCCGUAAACGAUGAGUGCUAGGUGUUUGGGGGGGUUCCACCCUCAGUGCUGAAGUUAACACAUUAAGCACUCCGCCUGGGGAGUACGACCGCAAGGUUGAAACUCAAAGGAAUUGACGGGGGCCCGCACAAGCAGUGGAGCAUGUGGUUUAAUUCGAAGCAACGCGAAGAACCUUACCAGGUCUUGACAUCCUCUGACCACUCUAGAGAUAGAGCUUUCCCCUUCGGGGGACAGAGUGACAGGUGGUGCAUGGUUGUCGUCAGCUCGUGUCGUGAGAUGUUGGGUUAAGUCCCGCAACGAGCGCAACCCUUGACCUUAGUUGCCAGCAUUCAGUUGGGCACUCUAAGGUGACUGCCGGUGACAAACCGGAGGAAAGGUGGGGGAUGACGUCAAAUCAUCAUGCCCCUUAUGACCUGGGCU